CACUCCUACGGGAGGCAGCAGUGGGGAAUUUUGGACAAUGGGCGAAAGCCUGAUCCAGCAAUGCCGCGUGAGUGAAGAAGGCCUUCGGGUUGUAAAGCUCUUUUGUCAGGGAAGAAACGGUGAAAGCUAAUAUCUUUUGCUAAUGACGGUACCUGAAGAAUAAGCACCGGCUAACUACGUGCCAGCAGCCGCGGUAAUACGUAGGGUGCAAGCGUUAAUCGGAAUUACUGGGCGUAAAGCGUGCGCAGGCGGUUUUGUAAGUCUGAUGUGAAAUCCCCGGGCUCAACCUGGGAAUUGCAUUGGAGACUGCAAGGCUAGAAUCUGGCAGAGGGGGGUAGAAUUCCACGUGUAGCAGUGAAAUGCGUAGAUAUGUGGAGGAACACCGAUGGCGAAGGCAGCCCCCUGGGUCAAGAUUGACGCUCAUGCACGAAAGCGUGGGGAGCAAACAGGAUUAGAAACCCUAGUAGUCCCA
RNAcentral lists this ribosomal RNA (472 nucleotides) under uncultured organism. RNAcentral's name for it is "partial 16S ribosomal RNA". It matches the Rfam family "Bacterial small subunit ribosomal RNA", at positions 334 to 797 of the family's 1533-position model. The record is from RNAcentral.